GUUGAACGCUGGCGGCGUGCCUAAUACAUGCAAGUCGAGCGAUCGGACGAGAAGCUUGCUUCUCUGAUGUUAGCGGCGGACGGGUGAGUAACACGUGGAUAACCUACCUUUAAGACUGGGAUAACUUCGGGAAACCGGAGCUAAUACCGGAUAAUAUUUUGAACCGCAUGGUUCAAAAGUGAAAGACGGUCUUGCUGUCACUUAUAGAUGUAUCCCCGUUGCAUUAGCUAGUUGGUAAGGUAACGGCUUACCAAGGCAACGAUGCAUAGCCGACCUGAGAGGGUGAUCGGCCACACUGGAACUGAGACACGGUCCAGACUCCUACGGGAGGCAGCAGUGGGGAAUCUUCCGCAAUGGGCGAAAGCCUGACGGAGCAACGCCGCGUGGGUGAUGAAGGUCUUCGGAUCGUAAAACACUGUUAUUGGGGAAGAAGAUAUGUAUAAGUAACUGUGCACAUCUUGACGGUACCUACACAGAAAGCCACGGCUAACUACGUG
Molecule: ribosomal RNA, 497 nt
Filed under: uncultured bacterium
Lineage: Bacteria
Description: partial 16S ribosomal RNA
Rfam family: Bacterial small subunit ribosomal RNA
Source: RNAcentral